GCUUCCAUAGCUCAGUCGGUAGAGCGCUUCCAUGGUAAGGAAGAGGUCACCAGUUCGAGCCUGGUUGGAAGCU
RNAcentral lists this transfer RNA (73 nucleotides) under Thermoflavimicrobium dichotomicum. It matches the Rfam family "tRNA". Rfam says of the family: Transfer RNA (tRNA) molecules are approximately 80 nucleotides in length. RNAcentral also lists the same sequence under 2 other names. Lineage: Bacteria; Bacillati; Bacillota; Bacilli; Caryophanales; Thermoactinomycetaceae. The record is from Rfam by way of RNAcentral.